UUUUUUUUUUUUUAUGAAGUAAGGUGUUUCAUUAAAAACAAGCAUCAAGAAGAUGCAUAUUUACAUAGUUACGGAAGGCCUAGUUACAAAAGACAAAAACAAAAGAGAGAAGCACCCUAUACAAAGUGUCAAUCUAGGACAAAAGUACUAACAAAGUCCAAAAAAUGCAAAAAAGUUCAAGUAGCCAUUUUGCCUUGAGAGAGUGAUUUGGAGUUGAGAUGCCAUCAAAAUAUCUUCUAUUCCUAUUUGUCCAUAAACACCAAAAAAUAGCUGUAGGAAUCAUCAACCAGAUUUUCUUGACGGCCGUAUUAACUUUCCACAAACUCCAACUAAUGUGUGCCUGUCUCAUAUUCUGUGGCAUAACCCAACUCAGGCCAAAAAUAUGGUAGAACAUAUUCCAUAUGGUAGUUAAUCUACCUGUAAUCUCUGAAAGUUCUAUAAUUUACAUCCAAUUUGAUGUAAGAUAAUAGUAGCGCUUCAUACUAUUUACAUGUUACAGUGUAGUUCAACUUUUGUGUGCCUGACAGUUUCUGAUUCUGAAUAGAUCAUUUUCUCCAUUUUAAAGUAUAACAUGGUCGAACAUAAUGUCCUCAUCGAGAUGCAUGAUUUUCUUCCAUAGCAAGUUUCCAAGUGCUUGUGCUGUCUCUUUAUUGAAUGUCAAUGUACAUAAUGUACAGCUUUCAUGCUAUGUUAGCAUCAUGUGAUAUCUUUUGGUUUUGCUGAAAGUCUUGAUCAGCGUUCCAUCUGUCGUGUCUGAUCAAGUUACUUGUUUCCUUUCUGUAGAUAAAACUAGGAACGAUGGAUCAGGAUGAAGCUCAAACCGAGUGGGUCAUAAGGCCUUACAUGAACACAUCCAAAAAACAGAAGUUUCUAGGGGACUGAAGCUGCAGAAUAUAAACUUUGAAGCCCCCAAGCAUUAACAGAAGUUGAUUUCAAACUUUGGUGGUCGUUGCUGCCAAAAUCAAUUUUGUUAGCGAGAAAACAUCACAUAGCAAUAUAUGUGUUUGAUCAUUGAAUCGCAGGAGAGCUAUAUAUCUCUCGGUUUGAUCAUUGAUCAUUGCAAAUAGGUUAAAUAAUGCAAUAUUUACGCGGAAAUAUUUUUUCUAAUAUCUCCAGUUUAACGCUGAUUAGUUUAUGCAAAAUUUUGUUAUGGAACUAUUUCUCCUAGUUUGUUAAACUAAAUUCUUUGUUAUCGUGUUUCUUUUUAAACUGCUUUUAUUUUGCUUCCCUUGAGCCGAUGGUCUAUCAAAAACAACUUAUCUACUUACUCAAGGUAGGCGUAAGGUUUGCAUACACACCAUCCUCCUUAUACCUUGCUUAUAGGAUUACAAGGAUUACAAGUAUAUUGUUGUUAUUAUUAUUGUUUCGUUAAACCAAACGACCCCUUAAUGAUUAUGUUGAAAAGUUGUGCGUUGAAGUUGCGAUGCUGCACUAAUCUGUUUUGAGUGCUAAUCAUUAAUCCCUUUCUUCAUUCGACCCCAUUCUAGUUUGCUAGUUAUGGAGUGGCUCGAAAUGGAAAGGUUAAGGAAGAUAUUCCCACCUUGCAUCUCUCAAGCUAUAAUAAGUUACUUUCAUGAUAAGUCAGUUUCAUGACAAUUCCAGGACCAACUGCUAUAAUAUUUUUUGGUUGACAAAGCCUCGCCUUCUCAUUAAAAAAAAUUGCAACUACUGCCAGAAGGUUUCCUUUCUUCGAGUAUGAAUUAAGUGUAAGAUUACUGGACCACUUCAAAGCCAUAGUGAAUAACUUGUAAUCUUUUUUCCUUUUCUUCUGGAGCGAGGCUUUUACUUGUAUCAGCUCCUAUUAGGUUGUUACGGAACUUUUAGAUGAGAUAAUCAUACAAUUAACCAUAAGAGCAGAGUAUGCAGAGUCAAUGAAUUUUCACGUAGUUACCCCAUAAAAAAGAUCAAGCUCGUUCAUGUGGCCACACACUUCAACAAGUAAUGUGGGAUGGUAGUUUUUAAAAAAUAUCAAAACCUUCACCACAUCUUCUAACUGCCAUAAACUACUUUUCCCAACAAAAAAAAAAUUAAAAUUUUUUUUUUAAAAAAAAUCAGCAAACCAUUAGCUAUAACUGUGUAAUUGUGUUCCUCUUGAUGCUUAUUUUUUAGCAAUAAGAGGUCAAAUAAUCACAAAAGAAAUUUGAGUUCCAACACCAGAAGCAUCCUAUGUAUUAGGAUAGAAAAAGAAACUACUUAAUCUUUGUUAGAAAAUGCUUUUCUGUUAUCUUAUUAGCUUCAUUCAAAUGUUAAUAAUGUUCUUCACUUUUUAUGGUUACUGAACUUGUAGUCCUUUUCCUGCUCUCUACAAGUACCACAUAAAUUUUUCACAUAAUGUCUCAUAAUUUAAACAUUUUUAUAACUCUAUUUUUAGAUAUUUGAAUUACUUUUAGUCAAAUCCCCGCACCCGUAUCCGUAGCUAGAUACAUAAUCCCAAUCUUAAAAUUUGGAUCAUAGAGGAUUCAACCUCUAGAUCCGCAUCCGUAUCGGAUAACUACAACCGAGUCCGAGCAACUUAGCUAGAGAAACUAACUCGUUGAUACACUGGGAAAGAUGGACUAUUGCUCUGCUAGUAGUCCUAUACAUAACAAUAUAGUGAAAUCAUAACACUUGGAAAGAAACUCCUUGAUUGUCCAAUUUGUUUCCCCGUCGAAGGGGAGUGCCAGCCAGGAUACAUAGCAGAAAUAUUUUUUUUGAAUGAUCAGGACAAAAAAACAAGUAUUUUGAUUAAGACUUACGCUGUGCACAAGUGGUUCUACAAAACUUAAUGCAUGUAGAUAUUUAUAUACAUCAUAGUUCUAAUCCAUUGAGUCAAGACUUGGUGCAUACCAGCCCAACUCUUCUGUGAUCUUUUUCAUUCUUUCUUCUUGUCCUUUUGAAUCUCCUAAUGCUGUAGUAAAUGGGUAUAUAUAGGUCACUUUUGUGGCCAUUGCUCUAUAGGCAACUGAAUCUCCUUUCACCAAAAAUUCUAAAACAUCUCUGCCGAAUCCUCCAUCUACCUCAGCCUGCAAAUAUUUUCCUGCAUGCAAUUGUUUCCAUCAUCAGCAAACAGGAAUUUUUCUUAUUCAGUCCUAAAUUCUAAUUAAUCAAUGUUUGAUGAAAUAAAUGUUCAAUACAUCUUGAUUUCAUUUGAACACUUUGUGAUCUUUUUUGCAGUUUCAUCUGUAUCUAUCUAGUCAUUUCAGGCAUCUAUUGCAUAUCGAUCGAGUAAAGUGCAGUGUUUGAUGCAUCUUCUUUUAGUAUGAUUACCAUCAGGGAUAUCUUCAAUAACUUGAAUCAUUGCAUUCUUCUGUGUCUUCAAAAUGGCGUCCUGCAAUUGCUGCAACGUACAGAUGAAGAAUUUAACAGACAGAUAGACAAUUGCGAACAAAAUCAAAACGACUAUCGGAAGUCUACAUCUUAUUUACCGUAAUAGCAUUGCCAGUAGAAUUUUGAGGAAUCAUCCAGGGGAAGGCAGAAGAAGAAGACUGGGGAUUUGUCGACACACACCCCGGAUUAACUGAGGGGCAAGGUCUGAUUUUUCUGCAAUAGCAGGCGACAUGCAUAAACCAUAAGCCAAUGGAAGAAGUAAACCUUAAUUAAUUCAGCAGCCUGCCUUUAGAUAAUUGUCUCAAUUCUAUAUAUGCAAGAGAACAGAAUGGUUGUACUUUUGGAAGCUAAAUUAGCAACAUUAAUUAUAUCCCCAAGUAGGCAAGGAGUGCAUCGCAUAUUUUACUUAUGGAGUUAAAUUAACACGACGGUCCCUAAUACAGUAUCUAAAACUACAAAAAAUCAGAUUCAAAUAACAAUUGGAAUUACGAAAUAACACUAUAGACAUUAAGGGACUAGGUGAAUUCCAAAAAAUCUAUACCUUGUCUAUUGAAGUGACUUUGUGACAGUAGCAUAUUUGAGGAUGAGUACAUGAGGUACCUGCUACAAACUACUAGUACCAAUACUUGGUAAACAUUCUUAGCCGAGGAGGUUCGCAACUAGACUAUCUUCCUGCAAUAGGCUUCAGCAUUUAUAGAUUCUACUCCUUCAACGUAACGGAAUAAUGGAUCAUGCGUGUGUUAAGCUGCCGACAAUGACAAAAUUUUACCUCUAGCAGUUGACAAAAUUAACUUAGCUGUGCCUCCUUAUUGAAUUGUGAACGACCACAUCAAAAAACUUGAACUGUUAAGGAGGGACAGAUUUCUAUAGGAGUGUCAAUUUGAGCCCAAACCCAUUCAACCCGCCAAGAGAUUAAUGGGUUGAGCUACAACAUUUAACUCAUGGGUCUAUUUGGACUGCGCCCAAGUUAACCCAUUAUUUUUUAUAGCUCAUUCUGACACAUGAAGUAGCCCAAAUACAACCCAUGAAGCAAAAAAAUUUUUUACUGUAUUUUCAAUUUUCUGUUUUUUCGUUUUCCUGCACCACCCACCCCAACCCCCUGCAUAAAAAAAAAUUUACUGUAUUUUCAAUUUUCUGUUUCUUCGCCCUAGCAUGUUGAGAUUAUUUAUGAAGUGGUAAUUGUGAAACCUGCACCAUCUCUAACUUAUCUAAUAUCAUUUUGAAUUGUGCGACAAUCUUAUCUAAAAAUUUAAACAGUUAGGAAAUAUAAAAUUUAUAUUUACUUGUCUCCAGCACGUCUCCUCACGUGGGACUAGCAUAUGGAAAUUCAUUGUGAUAGACGGUCGAGGUGAGACCUGUACUCAGAACCUUAGUAUGCUUUGAUAUGCAUGUUGAAUUAUGUGAGUAAUGUGACUAUCUUACCUAAAAGAUUUAAACUUUAAGAUAGAUGGUCGUACAAUUCAACACAGUAGCUUUAAUUACCAUGAGUUACACAAACAACUCCGACUCGGACUCUGCAAUGAGAGAGAUUUAAGUGCCCAUUUGACUUUCCUCAAAGUGCAAAACAGAUAAUUAACAACAUUAUUAUAAACUUGAUUAGGAUAGCUAAAAUGAGGAAAUAGAGAGCGCAGAAAAUUACCCAUUUUCGAGUCCAGUGGGCAAGUUCUUGGAUUGUGAGAAUGGGGUUGUGGGAACGAGCGAAGAAGAUUUGGAGUCGAGAAAAGGUAUCGCCGAAGAAGACAAGGGAGUGACCAGCGAAACAGCAACUGCUAAAGGGAGUACCUUGGACCAAAAAUAUGGUACUGUUGCUACGGAUUGGUGGUGUUCAACUUUAGUAGUAGCUGCUACAUUGGUCGGCGAAUUGUGUUUGGCAGUGACUUUGGGAAGCAGCGGAAGAAGCUGACCGCUCAUUCCAAAUGCCAUGUUUGAUGUUUCUAUUUCUUUUCCGUCCCGUCUAUAUGAAGCCUACUAUUUAUGGUCCACGGAAUGCCACGUUUGACAACAGAUACUUUCAUGAAUCCCAUAUGUUUGCUCUUGGUUUUGCUCUUUUAGAGCCUACUUUAAUUUCCUUAUUGUUUAAAAUUACUGGUUUUAUAAAUUUGAAUUUGUUUUGGAUUAGGUUCAACAAAGAAGAAAGCAUUUUUGUAUCAGUUUCUUUAUACUCAAAUUCGAGAUAUUUAGUUAUAGAUGGAGAAAUUUCAUCAAUUCUACCCUACUUAUUAACGGUGCUCUAUAGACAUUUAUAUUUACAAGUCCAGUUACGUUUUUCUCUUUUUGCAAUAAUAUGAAAUCAAAUUUGGUGCCGUAUGAUAUGGUACGAAUCAAGUUAUAGAAAAGUUAUAAAGCGAUCGACUUUCCUUGAUCUUUGAAGAUAUACAAACUUAAUGUGAAUUUUCGUAAGCUGUAACUGUUGAGGAAUUGCUAUCCGGUCGGAUCCAUCCAUAAAGCUGCUAAAUAGCAUAGUUGGUUUAUUUCACUAUGCUGUUAUUAGUGAUAAAUAACUUCACUUUAUCAUAAAUUAGAUAUUUCUACUAUUAGAAAUUGUCGUGAGUGAAUGAGUCAAAAUCCAUCUUUAGUCAAAAUAGUAUUAGUAAAAUAUUCCUGGGAUGUCACGCGUCGAAAUAAUCUAAUUAUCAGCGAAGGCCGCGGUCGAAGAGUCAGCAAGUCUGAAGUCGAGGAGUUGUCAUUGAGGCCGAGGUCGAGCACCCUUAACAGAGCUGUAACGGCUAGUUUCGAGAUAGGAUACAAAAGAGAAUAUUCUAGUGAAUAUUCUCUACACUUGUUCUAUUAGGGGUUUUAGGAACAUGUUUCCUAUAAAUGGAAAGAGAUACAAUGAUAGGGAACAUGUGAUAUUCAUUUGUAAAAAUACACUUUGACUUGAGAAAGAGAAUCAGAUCUCAUUGCAAAUAUACAAACAUCAUCUUCUCACUAAGAUUCUUGUCUAUACUUUUCCACUAUAUGAGAAUAACUCAAAUAUUCAAAGGACUGUCCAUCACUCAUCAUUGUUAGAAAGAACAUUCACCGAUUCCAUCCUUUCUUGGGUGACUCAUUCAUUCUAUUUACUUAAAUGUCAUUUAUUGCUAUUCAUUAAGAUUUAAUACUACAUUAUUAUCUUUGAUUUUUGGAAUAUUUAUUGCAUGUUGCCGUUGUUACCCUGAUAUAUCUACAUAGUAUUUGUUGCAUUUCCGAGAACUCUACCUUAGGGAUAUUAUUAUUAGCUAAGAUUAACCCUCAUUUAUAUAAAUUUAAUUAUUUGAAUCAAGUAUUAUUUUUGGUCAAACAAUCUGGCGUCGUCUGUGGAGAUUUCUUAGCUAAAUUUUUAGUUUCCUCUAGAUCUACAAUUAACGGAAGUCACUAACGUCAAAACCCCCGAGAUCUUCUUUCUUCGUGCAUGCAAAACCCUACAUGGCAGGUAAUCAAGGAGAAAGGACAAAAAUAACAAGUGACUUCUAAACCAACUUCAGGAAUGUCAUCAAUGAAAGCUGUGAAACAGUAUGUGAGGACACGACGCCCAACGCGUCCCCUAUGCAAGCGAGGUCGCCUCCCCUACAUUGCAGCAUAACAAAACCCAGUGGAAAAGGGGCCUCCACGUCCGCAGAAGAAGGGACGCACGCCCCCAGCUGCUAAGAAGCUCCUCGAAGCAUGGUUGACCGACACACUAGCAAGCGGCCUCAACAAACCCGCUCCAGGCAUGGCUGCAGAAACCGUAAAAGCCUGCAUGAUACAACAAACAGACGAGCAGUGCAACCGACCAAACCCUCCAAUAAUAGGUAUAACUCGCAAUAUUACUAACAAUGCAGGCGACAACGGCCUCGCUGCCAUUCUAAAGAGGAUGGAAGAAAUGGAGAACGAAAACAAGGCAUUCCGAAACCAGAUGAAAGAAUACCAAGAACGGAUCGACAAGAUACCGAGCGCUCCUAAGUUGCUGCCAAAAAGGGACGCCGACAGGUUCAUAGAACAGUUGUACAGCGAUGACGCAACCUCGCAUGCCAUACCAAAGACCUUCAAAAUGCCACCCUACCUCAAGAUAUACGACAGAGCGACCAAUCUUGAGGAUUAUGUGAGUCAUUACGUCACCAUCGUGAAAGGCAACGACCCCGCCAAGGAACAAGUGUCCUCUAUUUUGCUGAAGAAGUUUGGCGAAACCCUUACAGGAGGAGCAUUAACAUGGUAUUCACAACUACCAGCCCGCUCCAUAGAAAACUUCGAUGAAAUGGCCGGUAAGUUUGUAAUCGCCCAUGUCGGAGCCAAGAAGGCCAAAGCGAGAGUAAAUGAUAUAUUCGCUAUUAAGCAGUCCUUGGGAAAGGAACUUCCUCGCCCGGUUCAACAGAUUAAGGAUGACUCUACCGAACGUAUCCGAAGGUAUGGCGGUCGUCGCCUUACAGAACGCACUGAGUAGGGAUGGUUCAAGAGAAACUAGGAAACUGCUAAGCCGUUUGAUGAAAUAUCCCCCAAACACUUGGGAUGAAAUCCAUAAUGCUUAUUGCGCCGAGGUCCGAGCAGAUGAAGAUGACCUCAACGGACCGACUCAUCGGCUAGUAUUAGUACAAACCGAAUCCAGAAAGGAACGAAGAGACAACAUCAGGAGGGAUCACCCGAUUCUGCGACCUAAUAUGGAACGACAUCAACCAUAUAUUAGGGCAGUCACCGCCAUUUCCCCUCCUAUGAAGAAGGCCCAUCCAGGCCAAUGACAAGGACUCACCGGAACAAAAAAGGUAUGCCCCCUUUAUUAUCUGCUCACAAUUUUUGUGUGUCAGCUGCAAAAAUAGUCUACACUCUUGAGAAACUCGAAACGAAGGUGAAGUGGCCGUCAAAGAUGAGAUUAGACCCGAACACCAGAAAAUCCAACGCCCUCUGUGAGUUCCACUAAGAAUGUGGGCACAAAACAGAGGACUGCAUCGCCCUCAGAUAAGAAGUCGUAAACAUGUUGCGGCAAUGGCACCUCAAGGAGCUGCUAAGCAAUAAGGGAAGAAACAACUUCGCUAGAGGACACGAACUCCAAGGCCCGCCGAAGCCUCCAUCACUAGCUCGUACUAUCAACAUGAUCAUCGGUGGCGGCGAUGACACCUCUAUCAACAACGUGAAGUUCACCACCACUCAUAAGCUCAAGCAGUCUAUCACCCGCGAACGGUACGACGAACUCGAAGAAAGUAUCAUCUUCGACGAGUCAGAUGCUGACGGUUUGACUUUCCCUCAUAAUGAUGCCCUCGUUAUUACUUUACGCAUUUUAGAUACCAAUGUCAAAUGCGUCAUGGUGGACGACGAAAGUGGCGCAUGCAUUUUCCAUCCCCGAGUCCUUACCCAAAUGAGACUCGAGGAGUAGAUAGUGCCGCGCUGCAUCACGCUAACCAGUUUUAAUAAUGAAGUUGAGCGGACAUUCGGGGAAAUUAUAUUCCUCAUCUUGGCCGGUGGAGUGACACCGGAGACGAUAUUCCACAUCAUGGACCAGGCCAUUGCGUACAACGCCAUAGUGAGAUGACCAUAGAUACAUCCCAUGAGAGUCAUCCCCUCUAGCCUAUACCAAGUAAUUAAAUUCCCAACACCAUGGGGGAUAUUCAACAUACGCGGGGAACAACGCACAUUCCAGGAAUGCUACCACAUUGCCUUAGACAGCAUGGCCACCCAAUAGAGAAACGACAAAGAAAAAGAGGCAUAAUUAUCAACAGGGUCGAGGUCGAAGCAAGAUGAGACCGGGGACAUCAUCAUGGAUCCCGACACGAUCGAGGAUGCAGGUUCGACCAUAGAAGACCUCUACCCCAUUCAAUUGGACCUCAACGACCAUAGCAAGAAGGCCUAUAUCGACUACAAACUCCGAGAACCAGGUAAAUUCAGUCAAUUCUUAAUAGCUAAUGCAUAUUUGUUUGCUUUCAGCCAUACAGAUAUGUCGGGCAUCCCAAAGGAAAUAUCCACACACAAAUUAAAUGUCGACCCACUCCACCCCCAGUAAGACAGGUCAGGCGUAAAUUCAACUCCACCAUCAACGAUGCAGUCCGCGAGGAGGUGGAAAAACUGUUAGAGAAUGGCUCCAUCAGGGAGUCGAAAUACCCCAAGUGGAUCGCCAACGUAGUGAUGGUCAAAAAGAAAAAUGGGAAAUGGUGGAUGUGUGUGGACUUCACAGACUUGAACAAAGCAUGUCCAAAGGAUUCGUUCCUAUUACCCCAUAUCGAUCAACUCAUCGACGCAACAGCCAGGCACGAACUAUUAAGUUUCUUGGAUGCUUACUCAGGCUAUAACCAAAUUUUUAUGGAGGAAGAUGAUCAGGAGAAGACCACGUUCAUCACCCACCAAGGGACGUAUUGCUAUAGGGUCAUGCCGUUUGGACUAAAGAACGUGAUGGCCACUUAUCAAAGAUUGGUAACAAAUAUGUUCAAAAACCAGCUCAGUAAGACCAUGGAGGUAUAUAUAGACGACAUGUUGGUUAAGUCCGAGAGGGCAGAGGAUCACAUCGAUCAUUUGAAAGAAACUCUCGACAUACUCAGACGGUACAAAAUGAAACUGAACCCGGAGAAAUGUGCGUUUGGUGUAGCCUCUGGAAAACUUUUGGGUUUUUUGGUGUCGUAGAGAGGAAUCGAGGUCAGCCCAUACCGGAACUCUUAACCAUCAAAAAGCAAGUCCAAAGGCUGACUGGUCGAAUCGCCGCCCUAUCAAAGUUCAUCUCACAGUCGUCGAAUAAAUGUCACUAAUUUUUUGGUGUACUCAAGAAGGAUAAUGACCUUGAAUGGACUCCCGAGUGCAUCCAGGCUCUGCGAGAACUGAAGGCAUACAUAUCAUCACCGCCCUUGCUUUCAAAACCCGAACCUGGGGAGCAACUCCUCGUCUAUCUAGCCAUCUUCGAGGUAGCGGUAAGCACAGUCCUGAUCCACGAAAACAAAGGUACGCAAUCUCCCAUCUAUUACAUUAGCAAAACACUCUUCGACGCCGAGACGAGGUAUUCGCACCUCAAAAAAUUUGCUCUGGCCCUGGUUGUAGCUUCACGAAAGCUUAGAACCUAUUUCCAAUGCCACCCCAUCUCGGUCGUCACAACCUUUCCCUUGAGGAGCAUGUUGCAUAAACUCGAGCUGUCAGGGAGGCUGGCCAAAUGGGCCAUCGAGCUAAGCUAGCACAAUAUCACAUACCAGCCAAGAACGGCGAUAAAGUCAUAAGUUCUCGCCGACUUCAGUGCUAAAAUAAUGCCCGAAGUUGAAAGAGAAGACGUCCAACCUUCCCUCCAAACACAAGACCUCUAAGUCCUGUACAUUGACAACGCAUCCAAUGCAUCAGGGUCCAUACUGGGCCUCAUACUCGAGGUCCCAACAUGUGAAGUAAUUCGCCAUUCCAUAAGGUGCCUGGAUAUGACUAACAAUGAGACCGAGUAUGAGGCCGUAAUUGCAGGAUUAAGGCAAGCACUCAAGUAUAGGGAGAAACGGUUAAACUCCAUUGUGAUUCCCAGCUCGUAGUCAACCUAGUCGCUGGGACUUUCCAAAUCAAGAAACAAAGGUUACAAAAAUACCAGACCAAAAUCUGCAAGCUAUUGCUUGAGUUCGACGAGUGCUAGCUCGAUCAGAUCCCGCGUGCACAGAAUGCCGAAGUAGAUGGCCUCGCCAAACUGACCGCAGCUACCAAAAGCAAAACGACCGGAGAUCGAAGCAUAGUUCAUCUCCUCAACUCAUCGCUGGACCAAAUCGAGGUAAAAACCAUAAACUUAACUUGGGACUGGCGCAAUCGUAUUAUCGCAUAUUUGCAGGACGGCACACUACCAGGCGAAAAAAAAAGCCAAGAAACUAAGAAUGCUGGCGGCCAGAUACAGUCUUCUCCAGAGCGAUCUAUAUAAGAGGACUUACGGCAGCCCUCUGGCGAAAUGUUUGGGCACGAACCAAAUUCAGCGCAUCCUUGAAGAAGCCAUGAAGGCCAUUGCGGAGCUCACUCCGGCAAUCGAGCACUGGUCAGAUGCCUCAUACGAGCGGGAUACUAUUGGCCCACCAUGAAAAAGGAUGUCGUAAACUUCGUGAGAAAAUGCAAACAGUGCCAAAAGUACGCCCCAAUGAUUCAUCAAGCGGGUGAACACCUCCACUCAGUCAUCUCCCCCAUCAAAUAAGGAAUGGACAUCAUGGGUCCCCUCCCAGCAGGGCGAGGUAAUGUACAAUUUCUUUUGGUUUUAACUGACUAUUUCUCUAAGUGGGUGGAAGCAGGAGAAUUCAACCAAAUACAGGAACAGGAAGUAAUCACCUUUAUAUGGAGAAACAUCAUCUGCCUAUUCAGCCUACCCAAAGAAUUUGAUUUUGACAAGGGACCCCAGUUCACAGGAAAGAAAACCGAAGAAUUCUUCGAGAAAUGGUGUAUCCAAAGGAUACUCUCAAUCCCAUAUCAUGCAGCGGGUAACGGGCAAGCAGAAUCCUCCAAUAAGUCCAUACUAAACAUCAUGAAGAAAAAGCUCGAAGACGCUAAGGGACUGUGGCCGGCAAUACUAAUGGAAGUAUUAUGGGCCUACCGAACAACUCUGACAACGAGCACAGGAGAGACGUCCUACUCUUUGGUCUAUGGGACCAAGGCAGUAAUACCGGUAGAGGUCGAAGAACCAAGCCUAAGGUACUCCCAUGAAAGCAGCAUGAGUAACGAUGAUAGCAGAAGGCAGGAACUUAACGAAAUCGACGAACGAAGAGAUAUGGAGUACAUAAGAAUGGUCGCCCAAAAAUAACAAGCAGAACGAUAUUACAACAAAAAAGCAAAGUUCCGGCCACUUAAAGUCGGGGACUACGUACUGAAAGCCAAAACUCAAGUGAGCAAAGACCCCCGAGAAGGCAAGCUGGGAACAAACUGGGAUGGUCUGUACAAAAUCACAGCCAAAGCAAACAAGGGUUCAUUCCAACUAGAGAUAAUGGAAAGAAAGCAACUACCAAACAACUGGAAUAUCAGCCACCUCAAAUACUUCAACUUCUGAGAGAAAAAGGGGCCCCCGAGUCGUACUCUUUUUCCCUCACUUGAGUUUUGUCCUAUUUGGGUUUUCUCAAGGAGUUUUUUAAUGAGGCGGCAAAGGGAGAACUUUAGAUCGAAGUACGCGAGGGUAGGACCCUUGUUACUAUUUCAUAUCUCGACUUCUCAAUACUCUCCAAGUCAAACAAUGCAGGGACUGGGUAGACUGGGACUGGGACUGGAAUAUCAGCCAAUACCCAAAAUCUAUAAUUUUCUCCAAGUAUGUAACCAAAGCAACAAUGUCAAAGCAAUAAGAAGAGUACUCUUAUCAGAACACAUUUUUCGUAUUAAGGUUAUGUUCGACCUCGCUCGAACAAACACCUACCAGCCCUCGACCGUGAUUCAAUAAAAGGUUAUGUUCAACCCCGCUUGAACAAACACAUACUGGACCUCGACCGUGACUUAACGAAAAGGUUAUGUUCGACCCCGCUAGAACAAACUCCUACCGACCCUUAGUCACGACUUAAUGAAAAGGUUAUGUUCGACCUUGCUCGAACAAACACCUACCGGCCCUCGGCCAUGAUUCAAUAAAAGGUUAUGUUCGACCUCACUCGAACAAACACCUAUCGGCCCUCGACCAUAUUUCAACAAAAGUAGGACAAAAGCGAAACGAGCAAACAAUAGAAGCAAAAAACAUACAAGUAGAGAAAGUAAACCACAGUAAGGGAAAAAGACACAAAGAACAACAUUGAUAUUUCAUCCUUAAAAACUGUUUACAAGGGCUCGUGAAGACGCCAGCAAAAACACACAAAACAUCAAAAGAAAACUACUGGUCGUCGCCAUCACGAGCUUCAGUAACGCCCCAACUUAGUUCUCAAUGGUGUCAUCACCCUGACUGCCAAUAACUUCGCCAUCUCGAUUCCCCUUGCCAUCGCCACCUUCUCCCUCAGGAUAAGCAGUAUUGUACUAGGCAUUCUCCUCAAGCCAGUCUAUAACUUAGUCAACCUCCAUCUUAUCGGCCUUAGGCGUAGAGGGAUCGUGCCCACAAGCGACUCGAGCUUCACGAGCCUUAACACGAACAUCUUCAAGGGCACUCUUAGAAACGGAUCCCGCCGCAUGCAAAUCUCGAAAGACAUCUAACUGGGCCUCGGGAUGAAUCCACUCCUCAUAUAACUCCCGAGGAACAUUGGAAAAAUAUGAAGUGUGGGGGCAGGAUGGCUAUGCAAGUAAUUCGGCCUUCUCAGCCUCCAGAGCAACAACUCGAUCGUAGAGACAAGAAGUCUCUUUCUCCAACUCCCCAAUCCUUUCAUCGAGCCGUUCUUCUUUGAGCCUUGCCUUCGUUAAAUCAUUUUCUCGCUCGAAACGGAGAAUCCGGAUCACCACCUCAAGGGACUCCGCCUUCCUUAAAGCCUCUGACCGUACAGACUCCGCCUUCUCUAGCUCCCCAUGCUUCUUAGCGACCUCACCACUAAGAGCUUCCGCCCUAAACUGACAUUCCUCAAGUUGGCCUCGCAACAUGACUACCUGAGCUUGGAGAUCACUGCAAUGGACUUCGACCCCUUGCUAAGCUCAAGCUCUUCCUCCUUGCUCCUCAACGUACCCUCUAGGAUGCUGCACUUCCCCGCCAUCCAUACUAGCUCCUCGUCUCUUGCCUUCAAGUCCUCCCUCAGUUGGCACACAUCGCCGCCUUCGCGAAGCAGGCACCGAAGCUCCCGAUACUUCUCAAGACAUUUGAAAUACUUGUCCUUCAACUUCACAUAGAUAUAUUUAUGCCUCUACUCUCUACGAACACUUUCAAUCUCCAAGACAACUGUCUACAAAAUGAAUGAAGGAAGUUAGAGACUACGAAAGAACAAAACCUAAGGAAAAUAGCUGACAGCAAAUGCACUUACCCGUAGGGCGAGACCAGCAAUGUUAUUUAACAGGGCGUUGUCAUCUAUGGUCUUGAAGGUCGUACCCUCAAUCUCAGAACAAAGAGGGACGAGGGAGGGGAUAAUUUUCUUGGUAUCCACAAGAAGAUUACGGUCCAUCAGUAUCGAUAUAGCCCUUGAACCCCCUUUCAACCUCACUUCAAGAUGAGUAAGCCCCUCGUGGAUCAUCCUCAAUUUGUUUACAUCCAUGUCAGAAUCGGAUCCAACAUCCUCCUCAGCAAUAACCUUCCCUCUAUCACCAGUCGAAGAACGCACAUCUGCCGCAACCCCGGAAGCCGAGGCCUCUCCGCGUCUCGGAAGAGCAAGGUUGUUAUUGCUUACCACACCUUCGAUUGUGCCCUCCACAGGACGCAUACUCGUAUCCUCCAAACAAGGGGCCUCGGGACUUGCCUCUAGGCUUUCCCUGAUAUGCACUGCGACCAUUUCCCGAAGGAAAAAGACACAAUCUCCAACAUCGAUUCAGUAUGGCCCGAGAGUUGGAGAUGGACAUCGCAUACCAGCAGGUGGUGUCAAUUGCUAUGAGAUUGAAGGGUAUGCGGAUCCGGGAGAGAGAAGAGAGGGAAGCUAAGUGACCCAGAUAUUCUGGCAUGUAUAACAGUUCUCGUGCCCCAUUUACAACUCGUCAGGGUAGGGGUUAUAGGAAUUGUCCUGUUUAUUCAGCACUUCCAGCCGCUAGCGGUACUCCGACAAUUCCUAGGCCCCAGGAUCCUUAUUAUGCACCGCCAAUGUACCUCUUGUAUGGGGUGCUUCCAGUGGUCAUUCCAGUCGAUCAUGCCUAAGCCAGUCACAACAGACAAGUCCUCCGAGAGCUUGUUUUGAGUGUGGUGACACUCGUCAUAUGGUGAGGGAUUGGCCCAGAUUCAGGAGGGGUGCACCUUCACAGAUUUCUCAGGCCCGACUUAUUCCACAGGGCCCUCAGGUUUCUCAGGUCAUGAUUACUGCACCAGUUGCCACUCCACCUGCACAGCCAGCUAGAGGUGGAGGUCGGACAGGUAGAGGUCAAACUAGAGGGGAAGGCCAGGCCAGAUAUUAUGCCCUUCCUGCUAGGACAGAGGCAGUCGCAUCCUAUUCUGUUAUCACAUGUAUUGUUCCGGUCUGUCAUAGAGAUGCAUAUGUCUUAUUUGAUCCAGGCUCCACUUAUUCUUAUGUGUCAUCUUAUUUUGCCCCGUGUUUGGGCGUAUCCCAUAAUUCUUUGAGUUCUUUUGUUUAUGUAUCUACACCCGUGGGUGAUUCUAUUAUUGUUGACCACGUGUAUCGGUCGUUUUUGAUUGCUAUCAGCUAUUUUGAGACCAUAGCUGAUUUAUUAUUACUCAAUAUGGUGGAUUUCGAUAUUAUUUUAGGCAUGGACUGGUUGUCGCCCUAUCACGCUAUCCUUGAUUGUUACACCAAGACGGUGAUGUUGGCUAUGCCAGAUCUACUAUGUCUAGAGUGGAGAGGUACCUUAGAUUAUGUUCCUAGUAGGGUUGUUUCAUUUCUUAAGGCUCAACGAAUAAUUGAGAAGGGAUGUGAUACGUAUCUGGCCUAUGUGAGAGAUGUUAGUGUUGAUACUCCUACCGUGUAGUCAGUUCCAGUGGUAAGGGAUUUUUCAGAUGUAUUCCCAGCGGAUCUUCCGGGUAUGCCACCCAACAGGGAUAUUGACUUUAGCAUUGAUUUGUUAUCGGGCACUCAACCCAUUUCUAUUCUACCAUAUCGUAUGGCCCCAGCAUAAUUGAAAAAAUUAAAAGAGCAGUUACAGGAGCUGCUUGAUAAGGAUUUUGUUUGGCCCAGUGUAUCGCCUUGAGGUGCUCCUGUCUUAUUUGUGAAGAAGAAGGAUGGUUCUAUGUGGAUGUGUAUUGAUUACCGCCAGUUAAACAAGGUUACGGUGAAGAACAGGUAUCCAUUGCCACGUAUUGAUGACCUAUUUGAUCAGGUUCAGGGUGCCAGGGUGUUCUCUAAAAUUGACUUGCGUUCAGGCUAUCACCAGUUGAAGAUUCGGGAGCCAGAUAUUCUGAAGACUGCUUUCAGGACUCGGUAUGGUCAUUACGAUUUCCUUGUGAUGUCUUAUGGGCUGACCAAUGCCCCAGCAACAUUUAUUCACUUGAUGAAUAAUGUAUUUCAGCCCUAUCUCGAUUCUUUCAUCAUUGUGUUUAUUGACGAUAUUUUGGUGUAUUCCCAGAGUCGGGAGGAUCAUAAGCAGUACCUGAGGACUAUGCUUCAGACUUUGAGAGAAAAGAGGUUAUACACAAAAUUUUCAAAGUGUGAAUUCUGGCUUGAUUCAGUGGGAUUCUUGGGUCAUAUAGUUUCGUACGAAGGGAUCAAGGUAGAUUCGAAGAAGAUUGAGGCAGUGCAGGGUUGGUCCAGGCCGUCCUCAGCUACGGAUAUCCAGAGUUUUCCUUGGUUUGGCAGGGUAUUAUCGCUAAUUUGUAGAGGGUUUCUAUUCUAUUGCUGCAUCUAUGACCAAAUUGACCUAGAAGGGUGCUCCGUUCAGGUGGACCGAGGAAUGUGAGGAGAGCUUUCAAAAGCUCAAGACAACUUUGACUACAACCCCAGUAUUGGUGUUGCCUACACGUUCAGGGUCUUAUACUGUGUAUUAUGAUGCAUCGCGUAUUGGUCUCGAUGCAGUGUUGAUGCAAGACAGUAGGGUGAUUGCCUAUGUGUCCAGAUAGUUAAAGGUACAUGAGAAGAAUUACCCUAUCCACGACCUUAAGUGAGCAGCUAUUGUUCAUGCUUUAAAGAUUUGGCGGCAUUAUUUGUACGGUGCCCAUUGUGAGGUUUAUACCGAUCACUAGAGUCUACAACUUCUAUUUAAAUAGAAGGAUCUUAAUUUGUGGCAGCGGAAGUGGUUGGAGUUGCUUAAGGUUUAUAAUAUCACCAUUCUCUAUCAUCCCGGGAAGGCCAAUGUGGUGGCCGGUGCCUUGAGUCGUAAGCCGGAGAGUUUGGAAAGCUUAGCAUAUUUAUCGGUAGCAGAAAGGCCUUUAGCCUUGGAUGUUCAGGCCUUGGCCAACCAGCUUGUUAGAUUGGAUAUUUCCGAGCCGAUCCGAGUUUUGGCUUGUCUGGUUUCUCAGUCUUCUCUUUAUGAUCAUAUCAGAGAGCGUCAUUAUGAUGACCCCCAUUUGCUAGUCCUUAAGGACACAGUUCAGCACGGUGAUGCCAAGGAAGUCACUAUUAGAGAUAACGGUGUAUUACGGAUGCAAGAUUAGGCUUUGUGUGCUCAAUGUAUAUGGUUUGCAUGAGUUGAUUCUCCGGGAGGCUCACAGUUCGCGAUACUCCAUUCAUCCGGGUGCUUCAAAGAUGUAUCAGGACUUGAGACAACACUAUUGGUAGAGGCGGAUGAAGAAAGACAUAGUGGAAUAUAUAGCUCUGUGCCUAAAUUACCAGCAGGUGAAGUAUGAGCAUCAGCGACCGGGUGAAUUGCUUCAGAAGUUAGAGAUUCCAGAAUGGAAAUGGGAGCGAAUCACUAUGGAUUUCGCUGUUGGACUCCCACAGACUCAGAGGAAGUUCGAUGCAGUUUGGGUGAUUGUGGAUAGAUUGACAAAAUCAGCGCAUUUCAUCCAUGUGGUUACUACUUACUCUUCGGAGCGACUGGCUCAGGUUUAUUUUUACGAGAUUGGCAGGUUUCAUGGCGUACCGAUAUCUAUUAUCUCUGACUGGGGUACGUAGUUUACAUCAUGGUUCUAGAGGGUCGUGCAGUGUGAGCUAGAUACUCGAGUAGAGUUGAGUACAACAUUUCACCCUCAGACGGACGGACAGUCCGAGCGCACUAUUCAAAUAUUGGAGGAUAUGCUUCGUGCGUGUGUGAUAGAUUUUGGGGGUGAUUGGGAUCAGUUCUUUCCACUUGCAGAGUUUGCUUACAUGAACAACUAUCAAUCGAGAAUUCAGAUGGCUCCAUACGAGGCUUUAUAUGGGAGACGGUGCCAAUCUCCGGUGGGUUGGUUUGAGCUGGGUGAGGCUAGGCUAUUGGGUACUGACUUGGUUCAGGAUGCUUUGGAGAAGGUUAAAUUGAUUCAGAACGGCUUCACACGGUACAGUCUAGACAUAAGAGUUAUGCGGAUCGGAAGGUUCGUGAUGUUGCAUUCAUGGUUGGUGAGCGAGUCUUGCUCCGGGUUUCACCUAUGAAGGGUGUUAUGAGGUUCGGGAAGAAGGGCAAGUUGAGCCCUAGGUAUAUUGGGCCUUUUGAGAUUCUUGAGAGAGUUGGAGAGGUGGCUUACAGACUUGCACUACCACCUAGUCUCUCUGCAGUUCAUCCAGUGUUCCAUGUUUCCAUGCUCCGGGAGUAUCACGACAAUUCGUCUCACAUGUUAGACUUCAGCUCAGUCCAGUUGGACAAGGAUCUAUCUUAUGUUGAGGAACCAGUGGCCAUUUUGGACAGACAAGUUAGAAAGUUGAGAUCGAAGAGCAUUGCUUCAGUGAAAGUAUAGUAGAGGGGUCAUCUGGUCGAGGAGGCGACCUAGGAGACCGAGCAUGAUAUGUGCAGUCGUUAUCCGUUAUCCUCAUCUUUUCACCACUCCAGGUAUAAUUCUAAACCCGUUCGAGGACGAACAUUUGUUUAAGAGGAGGAGGAUGUAACGACCCGGUCGGUCGUUUUAAGAAUUAUAGCCCCGUUCCCCCACUUACUACUCAUUUUUGUACUUUAUAGCUAUUAUAUGACUUGUCGGGGUAGUCAGUUCUGGUCCGGUGAGGUUUAGGAAUGAAUUGAGACACGUAGUCUCAAGGAGGAAAAAUUUAAGUUGAAAAGGUUGACCGGAUAUUUACUUAUGUGUAAACGACUCCAGAAUAGAGUUUUGAUAAUUACAAUGGCUCUGUAUGGUGAUUUUGGACUUAGAAGCGUGUCCGGAAAAUUAUUUGGAAGUCCUUAGUUAAAUUAUGCUUGAAAUGGCAAAAAUAAAAAUUUAAAUUAAAAGUUUGACCGGGGAGUUGACUUUUUUAUAUCGAGGUCGGAAUCCGAUUCUGAAAAUUUGAAUAGGUCCGUUAUGUCAUUUAUGAUUUGUGUGCAAAAUUUGAGGUCAAUCGGACUUGAUUUGAUAGGUUUCGACAUCGAAUGUAGAAGUUGGAAUUUCUUAGAUUCAUUAGGCUUGAAUUGAGGUAUGAUUAGUGUUUUUAGCAUUGGUUGAUGUGAUUUGAGGCUUCGACCAACUUCGUAUUAUGUUUUAGGACUUGUUGGUGUAUUUGGUUGAGGUCCCGGGAGCCUCGGGUGAGUUUCGUAUGGUUAACGGAUCGAAAUUUGGACUUAGAACAAAGUUGGAAACUUUCUAUCAUCUGAUGCAAUCGCACUUGCGGAAUUUGGCUCGCAGAAGCGAGUGUGGGAGCAGAGAAGCGGAAAAGGGAGAAUGAAGCAGUGGCCGCAGGUGCGGAGGAAAUUUUUGCAUCUGCGCGACCGCAGAUCGGACGAAGGAUCGCAGGUGCGCUUGGGACCGCAGAAGCGGACGCUUCAUCGUAGAAGCGGACUCCUUGUCCGCAUAAGCGAAGGCUGUCACAGAAGCAGGAGACUUACCGCAAAGCAGAACCGUAGAUGCGGUUAAAUAUUCCGUAGAAGCGGAACCUCUAGGAAGUGUACAAAAACAGAGGGUUCCGAGUUUUUGUCAUUUUUGGUCAUUUCCAACACGGUUUUGGGGCGANNNNNNNNNNNNNNNNNNNNNNNNNNNNNNNNNNNNNNNNNNNNNNNNNNNNNNNNNNNNNNNNNNNNNNNNNNNNNNNNNNNNNNNNNNNAAAUUCUUUAACUUGAGUUUGCUUUAGUAUAUGUAGUGAUCAUGUUUAGUCUAGUAUCAUAUGUCUACGUGCCCUAACUCUUACUUGCAAUAUGUGUAACAUGCUUAGCUGAAUUACCUGCUUAUUUGAUUUGAUUUAAAUCUUUAACUGUGAGAUUCUUGCUGUAAAUUUGCUGUUUUCUUCGGAUAUCUGUUGCAUAUUUACUUUGGGACUACGAGGCGGUUCCUCGGGAGAUUCCCAUGUGCUACAUAUUUACUUUUGGGACUACGAGGCGGUUCCUCAAGAGAUCCCCCUAUACUGCAUAUUUACUUUUGGGACUACGAGGCGGUUCCUCGGGAGAUCAUCAUGUACUGCAUAUUAACUUUUGGGACUACGAGACGUUUUCUCGGGAGAUCCCCCUAUAUUGCAUAUUUACUUUUGGGACUAAGAGGCGGUUCCUUGGGAGAUCCCCCCGCACUGCAUAUUUACUUUUUGGGACUACGAGGCGGUACCUCGGGAGCGCCCCUGUUGUUUACCUUUAUUUGCUGUGUUGCUCACUUCUCGGUCAUUUCGUUAUAUUAUUACGUCCUCUGCCUUACAUUUCUAUUAUUUCCAGUAGGGCCUGACCUGACCUCGUCACUACUUUAUCGAUGUUAGGCUUGACACUUACUAGGUAUCGUUGUGGUGUACUCAUACUACGCUUAUGCACAUCGUUUUGGACAGAUCCAGGUACUUCUUACCAGCCCAGAUAUUAGUGAGCUACCUGUGUGCGGAGACUUCAAGGUACAUUUGUCAGCGUCCGCAGACCUCGGAGUCCCGCUUUAUCCUUAUUAUGUUGUUUUUCUUAUUUUAGUAGACUCUAAUGUAUAGAGACAUUAGUAUUUUUCUUAGAAACUUGUGACUUGUUUCUACCGGAUUUUGGGAGAUUGUAGUUCUUUGACUUGCAGUUUUCAUUUAUUACAACUAUUGAGGUUUGAGUUUCAGACUCUUAUUAUGUUAUUCCGUAAUUUGUUAGGCUUGCCUAGUCUUAGAGACUAGGUGCCAUCACGACAUCCUACGGAGGGUAAAUUGGGGUCGUGACACUAGGGGGCCUGGUAUUUAGGAUAAGAGGUGAAAACAUAUCCAACCAGUUCAUCCCAAGAACCAAGCCACAACCUCCCACUCUCAGUACUCCCAUAUCAAAACAAAAAUAUUCAUCUUGUAUUUACUACCAUAAUUGAGGACAAACUUUAUUACACUACAUUAUUUUCUCAUUUGCUACAUUUACUUUCAUAGCACAGGGCAUCACCUCUAAUUUGAGACUCUUAACCACUUGGGGAUCUACAAAACUGUGAGUUAACCCGGAGUCGAUCAAAAUAGAUAAGGGAAUCUUCUUUCCAUAACCUAAAAUUUUGACUGUAGAGGGAGAACUGGGCCUCCCCAUAGCCACACAAAGAGAUAUUUCAGCUUGCACUUCCUCCUGAACUUUCUCUCCUGCAUAUCAUUCUUGUUUCCACUAGCUUCACCCUCUUCUUGCAGAGCCUGCACUUAUUCCAUAACUUGUAUCUGGGCCUCUGGAAUCUCACCUUCCCAAGUGAUGGUAUUAACUAUUUUGGGCUUACAUUGGUGGUCAGGGAAAUACUUCUCAUGACAUUUAUAGCAAAGACUUUUAUCUCUAGUGGCAUCAAAAUAAGUGUUUGGUUUGAAGGGAACUCUUGGUCUAGGAACAAGCGCCUUAUUGUUGGAUAUUUUGAGGUUGGUUAUAGGUUCCCUGGUAAGACACAAUGGCUCUAAAAUUAGUUUGAGGGUGAUUUGGGUAAUGAAAAAUUCUUGGAGUAGUGUUUCUAGUCAAGGCUUCGAAAGAUGCUUCAUAGGAUUUAGCUAUUUCGUAUGCAUCCAUUAGAGAUGUAGGAUUGGCUAAACCUACUAAGGGCUUAUACUAAGGGUUUCAACUCAGGUUUUAAUCCGCUAAUGUAACUAGCAAUAAAAUGAGUUUCAUUCAAAAGAGGGUUUACUAGUAAUAUGUAGGAUUUGAGUUCAUCAAACCUUUCUUGAUAGCUAUCCACACUUCCAUUUUGUUUGUUAUUGUUGAACUUAUCAACAAUAUCAAUGGGUCUGACAUUUUCAAAUCUGUGACACACCUCACACAAAACAUAGGCCAGUUGGUACCCCCUUUUCUCCAAGAUGUAGCUCUGAUUCACGAGCUGAGCUAUAGAAGAGCUCAGUCAUGAAGAAACAUAAUUUGAGAGAAGAGAAGAGAGGAAGAAGAAGAUAGAGAGAAAUUAGAUAAUAUUUCUGAUGAUUCUGAAAAUGAGUACAUUGUCAACAUAUAACGAAGCCAACCUAGGAUUCCCUAUUCUAACGGCAUACUAACCACGUGUCUCUAAUAUCCAGUAAUUGCAAAAGGGACCAACUACAAAUACAGAAAUUAAAAUGGACUGAAUUAAAAAUAGUACUAAACUUAGGACUUUAAAGUUUGCUUAACCCUUUGGAUGGUUUCGUAAUGUUCAGCACCAACGAUCCGAGGUUGAAGCAUGGUUGGCGUUGAAUCUAAAGGAUCUACUGCUGGAUAAAUACCUUUGGCAGCCAAUCCUCUUGAUAGUAUGGUAGUAACAUCUAAAUGUGCAAAUGUCGUAGCAGGAACAGGGUCAGACGAUUGCGGGUACAUAAACUGCUUGAAUAGAGGUUAUGGACAACUAAUUACAACAUUAGCUAUCUUAAUUCUUGACAGAAAUAGAGCUUUGGAAUUGGAGAACUGGACAAGAUUAUAUCACAUGAAUUUAUAUGAUAGGAGCAGGGUCAGACGAUUGCGGGUACAUAAACUGCUUGAAUAGAGGUUAUGAACAACUAAUUACAACAUUAGCUAUCUUAAUUCUUGACAGAAAUAGAGCUUUGGAAUUGGAGAAUUGGACAAGAUUAUAUCACAUGAAUUUAUAGUCUUUCGCGCCGAAAUAAGGCCAACUUGGAAAUAUAAAUUUUUUACUCGUAGCCAUAUAAAGAACCAAGUUCGAGACAGCAUUAUUUGGCCUUUCUUCUGCAACAUAUUCAUGAUGUUACUCCUCUGGAAACUGCAUUUUUAUAUACUUCAUUUUAAGAAAGAAAAAGAAAUAUUAGAUUUAUAGUGUAAAUAGAAUAGACGUACAGAAGAGUGUAUAUAAUUCCAAUGCAACUGAUUAUAAGAAAGUAAAAGAUUCACGGGUAAGACUUUUGUUGUCAUGAAUUCCCUACAUUAUAAUAUUCACUAGGAAAUUUGCCGCGCUUCGCGCGACUAAGAAAAACAACAAUAAAUAGAUUUUUUUUAAAAUUUAGUCAAUAUUUUUCAGCUAUUUUAAGAAAUUAAUUGUAUAUAUUGAUAAAAUCACAAUAAAUGUUUUUAUUAUAAUUAAGCUUAAACAAAUUACAUUUGUUUGGUCUAAUAUUCUUCAAAAAUGGAAAAUGAAUCUUUUAGAAAAAUUCUCAUAUUGUGGGGGUGGGGUUGGGGGUUUGGGGGAGGUUAAAUACACAUUCUCUUAGUGUAAUAUAUUUAUAUAUGUAUCUAACGACUUGAUUAACUUUUUCUACUUUAAUUAUAUAGUUGUAUUACUUUUUUUUAGGAAACCGAAAGAAGUAAUGAAACCAAAAAUAAGAAAAAGGAAAAGGAAAAAAAUUCCUUUCAUUGUUUUCUAUUUAUUUCCUUAAUUCUCAAUUUCUGGUCAUCUGAAUAAACUGCUAUUGCCUACUUCCUCUCUAUCCUCCAUUAUUUCUUGCUCUAAUUAUUUCCUUCUUUUUGUUUGCUCUUCAUUUGUUAAUUUUCUUCCCUUUUUUUUUCUUCUCCGACGGUUACCUUUAAAAAAAAAAAAAUCUAACCUUUCCUCUCUUCUUCAAAUUUAGAAAUCCCUUUGUCCUUCUCCUAAUUCUCUCAAAAUAUACCAUAAAUUUUGCUUCUAUUUUAAUAUUUGCGUCACUCAUCUUAUAAAUAGAGAAAAGUAACUUUUAAAAAGAGGGAGGGAGAAGCAAACAGCAAAAAAAAACAAAAUUCUAUUUAAGAUAAUUUUUUUUAGUUCCAGAAAUGGACUAACAAUAAUCUUUUGGGAGCUUUCCAAGAGCAAUUGAUUCUCACUGCUUUCCUGGGAGCAACAGAGACAUAGUUAAUAUUUAAACCUUAUGAGUUCGAGAUUAUAAUCAUUUUAAGUCAUUGGAUUUUAAAUCAAUAAUUUAUACAAAUUCAUUGAAUUUCUUAAUACAAAUAAAGAGUUUGAACUAAAACUAUUCGGUUCGCCGAAUCCGCAACCAACAUUGUGGGGAGCAAUGCUAUUUGACACCAAGAUGUUAAGUUUUUAUGUUUUUUUAUUUGGCAUAGUGAGGUAAAUUAUUUAGAAAUUAUAAUUAUGUAUUGUCUUCGCGGGUAAUGAAACACGAAGUAAUGAAAAUUUAGAAAAGGAAGAAAGUAGAUGAAAACCAAAGAAAGGGAGUUAGAAAACUGGACCAAUAAUAUCAAUCCGAAGAAAGGAAGAAGAUAAUUAUUGACUCUUAUACUAUUACUAUGUCUCUUUGUUAUCCUUAUUUAUUACAAAUUUUUAUAAUGCUCACAGCUUUACAUUGUCUUCUCUAUCACGAUUACAACAAUAUAUAGACAAUAGAUAAAUAGAAAAGAGCCAUCAGUGAGAUAAGAAACAUAAAAGAAAAUGAAAAAAUAACUAUUUGGUCUUAGAGAUGUGCCAAACUUAUUAACUCGACUCUUGUGGUAGUAUAGUGUCAGCUUCCAACGACUUGUACGAAUUUGUAACAAUUUGGCUCCUUUAAAAGUGAAUAUUAGAAAAUAUGGGUAGACAUACUGUUCUGAUAAAUCAAAUGAAUUAGGAAAAUUUUGAAAUAAAAAAUUAGCCAUCUAAAUAAAUAAGAAGUAAUUAAUCUAUUUAUUUACACACACAUAUACACACAAAGAAAAAUAUGGUGAGAGGCAACAAACAUGCUUUGACCUAAAGAAAACUCAAACCCAUUAGAGAACAGAAUAGGAAGUUCCACUUCCAAAAUUACAGGUUAAAUUAAAGGACAUAGUGGUUUGGUAGACGGGAAACCAAUUUCAAUAUUGGUACAAUACAAGCAUUUAUUCGAUUAAACCAACUAUUUAGAAGUUAUAUUUUCACAUCAAAGUAAACGGAUAAUACCUGGAUCUGCCUCUUGAACUCUGCCUAAAUAAGCCAGGUAGAACUCCACACAAGAAAGAUGCAUCAAAUUUUAUAAGUUUUAUAAAUUUGAUUUCAAGAAUUAAGCACCUUUUCAUUAUUCUACCAUAUCUGCUGACUCUUUUGACAUCAUACAUAAAUAUUUGACAAAAUAAUCUGUAAGAAAAGAAUUCAACACGUGAGUAAGAAAAUAUAAGAAAUCAGUAUUAAUAUAAAACAAAGAAAAGAAACGGCGAUGUACCAUUUAGAGGAUGCAAAGCUGAGAUGUCACCCAUUUAUCUUUUAGUUAAGUUUUGUUGUGCAAGUAUUCCUUUUAUUUGUUAAAAAUAUAAGAGAAGAAAAGGAGAACUAAAAAGGAAAAGAUUUAAAAAUCAAAAGAAAUCAGAUCUCCUCUACUUCCUUUUCUAUCGUUUUUGCUUUCUCCCUUUGUUGUUCUUCAGUAAUUACUCUUUACUUUUCUGUUCAUUUUGUUUUUCUUUAUAUUUCUUUUCAUAAUACUCCGUUUUCUUACCAUCUGUCUUCCUACUUCUCUAAUCAGAAAACAAAUCCCUCCCUUUUCUCCUCAUGAUCUACUGCAAAAUCUCAAAAUAUAUGUUCUAUGCUCCAAAGUUCAUCCUACCAUUUAUAUUCUCAUACUCAUUUCAAUAAAUUGAAAGAUUUUUGUAAAGGAAAGAUCCGACAUAUGGUAAUAUAUAAAGAGAUUCCGAAGUGCAUCAUAAAAGAAAAAUCAGAUGCUAAGUUUCUCCUUUGUAGAACAAAGGGGCGCGAAGUUUAAAAAAAAGAGGAAGAUUUCAAGAUGAUAUGUACCAAAAUUAUAUCGAAGUAGCACUUCCAGGGAACACAAUUGAUACAUGGUAACAUCAUAAUUUCGCUGUGAAAGAAGAAAAUAUUACAAAGGAAACAAUGAAGAGUAAAAUAGAAAAUAGAUGAAAAUAGUAGCAUAAAAAUUAAUACACCUCAUGACUCAUGAGUAAUGCGGAGCAGUUGUGAAAGAUCCCAUUGAAAUUUUGAAGCAGAAAGCAGUAUCUGAAAGCCUUGUGAGUAAGGACUUCUAGUAAGUAGAAAGGAACGUUUCUUUCUCUGAUUGUGAUGUGACUUUUGCAUUCAUGAAAUGUUUUGUUGCUAAAGGACUUAUAAGAAUAAAACGGAUCGGUUAUUCAGUAUAACCUUUAUAAGUGGGAAGGUGGCUUUUCAAAAAGGACGUCUAACAAUUGAUAUAGGAGAAAAAUUUUAAUAAAAUGAGAAAAAGAUAAAUGUGAUUCCUAAGUAUUGAGAAAUGUCACGUCAGCCUGUCAAGUCCCUUAUAUUUAUACAUAUAUAUAUAUAUAUAUAUAUAUAUAGAUUAUCCCGUGACUCUUGUUGAUAAUAAAAUAAUGAACGAGAUAGCUUGGCAUCAGUAAAGACAAAACAAGAUCUGAGGAUUUCUUUUACAAAUGUAGAGCUUAUCAAUCUCAGAAACUAAACUAGUCAAUGCACACUUCUGCAUAACAAUACAAGUUCUUCAAUUCCGGUCUAAUUUGCCGUCACAACUUGUACAUUCACAUGUCUAAAGUUACAAACAUUUCCCAAAAAUCAAGGUUCUUGUAAAAAGCCAAACCAUUUGGGGAAGCUCCAGAUCUUUAAGAAAUUAAACAAGGAAAACUAUAGGAAUUAAGCAGAUUCUCUGAACCUAAACUAUUUUAUCUAACUUAUAUCACAUUGCUGACCAAAAAAAAAAGUAUGACAUUACUAAAGGCUACUAAAACCUCUACUACAUUUUCUUCUUUCUGGGGAUUCAAGCGACGAAUCUAGGAAGAACACGAACUAUAUGGACGUCAAAAUCCACAAAUAAUAUAACUAAACUUUUAAAUACUCUUUUUUCAAAUUUCAACCAAAUAUUGACCAAACGCCUAGUGAAGGGUUUGCUCGUUAACUAGUGAUGGACUGAGGAUCUAGUGGUGAGAGAGGACCUCAUAUCUACGAUGGUCGACUCAUCUGCUCCUAACUUAGUAGCUUCUUUGCUUGCACUAAUAAAUCUUGAAACUGCACCUGUUACGUAAUUAUGAGCUUCUUUCACGUUCAUUUUCUUCCCCAUUUCAUGUGGGAAACUGCUCAAGAAAUGGUCUCCAUUCAACACGGCUGCUAACUGUACUAUUUCACUCUGAAACUCAGACAACCCUCGAGUUUCAUCCGCUUUUGUGCUCCUCAAUGGAGCUACAUCAGGCAGAACCUCUGUAAAUUUUUACACUAUCAGAUCAUAUACAGAACAAUUACUAAGUAACUGUCCAAAAAAAAGCUAAUAAUAGUAACCUAAAAAAUAUGACAGAUCACAUUUAAGCUACAAAGUGUUAAAAUACACUGAGGGUGUAACAGUUCUUCAUGUUGCCAUUGUAAUGGAGUUAAAAUCAUAUCAGUAUACUUUAAUUUGUUGUUGUUUUUAAGUUACAAAUCUCACUGUUUACGAUGAUUACCUAUAAACUAUAGUAAUCACUUAAUAGUAUAAAGUUAUUUUACACUAUUAUAAUAUAAAAAUCUAAAAAAGGAAAAUCUUGGAGCAAUGUCAAGCUGUCUUCAUGUGACCUAUAGGUCACGGGUUCGAACCUAAGCAUCGGUCUGCCCCUUUUACUAUAUAAAAUCUAUUCUGAAUUUGUAGUACUUCACGAAAACACUGGUUACAUAAACUGAAGUGGAAUGGAGGCGAAUUGUUAAAAUUAAAAUAGCCAGCGAGGAAGCAUUAAAAAAAUGAACAAACCCUCGUGACAAGAUUGAUCAUUUAUGAAUAUUCUAAGACUAUCUAAAGACUUCCUACAGUAUAUUAAUACAAUAUAUUCUCAUAAAUUAAUUAAGAAUAUUUUUGUGGCUUUGUGCAAAAUACUAUAAUCACUAUAGUUAUCUUACCAGGGCAAUCAGACCUUGGAGAUGACAAUUGACCUACAACCUGCUCAAAAGUGCCAGCCCAAGCAUCUCUAUGAGUUAAAAAGCUGGAUGUGAGAUUGAAUAUUCUCUUUAUAGUUGCAGGGAUUGAUGAGUGCUCGAACUCCGAAUUUGGUUUUGGUCCCUUCGGUUUGCUUAUCACUGUAAUACAGAAACCAAAAGGGAUAGUAUUAUAUUAUUACUUAAUCACACUAUCUACACAGAAAAAUACAAACAAGAGUUAAUUAAUCCCGUGACUAUCUUCGAUAAGAGUACAGUACAGAUAGAUCUGCACAUCUUGACGUAUUGAAAAAUAUUUUAGUUUAUCCCUCUGAAAGUAGCACGUAGAAAUUUGGAUCAAUAUUUUCUUACUCUAUGACAACCUACUAAAAGAAGGUGCAUCAACUAUCAAAAAUCAGUGGUGCAAUGAGAAUUUAAAUUCUGAGUUCUAAAUUAGGAUAACGACAUUAGUUGUUAGUAAUCAGGUUCAAAAUCAAGGAGCAUCACCAUCGAAAUUGGAUCCUGGCAGCGCAGUACAAGUCAAGUUGUGCGCCCAAAAUUGACCAAUGUAACUACCUAAGAUUUGAGUCUUAGGGUGCUAAUAGAAAUACAUACAUGUUAGUUAAGAUAUAUACAUAUAUCUUUUUUGAAUUUACCAGAGGCCGGUCUGCCCUAAGGAUAAGUCCGCCUCUGUUCAAAAUAGUAUAACUCGAGGCGGUCAAAAUGCAACCCAAAUCUAAACAUAUGAAUUUAAAUUUGAAGAUCGAAAAUUAUGUAAAUUUGAAAGAACUAAAGUUAAUAAUUUAAGUUGGGCCAUAUCAAAAUGCAACCCACCUAAGCAGGCGAGUUGAGCAAUAAUCCAUUUAUUGAUUCGAACAGUUUUGACCGUCCAAGUUUGACCCAACCCGCUCCUAUAACAAGCAAAUAGUGAAAGAAAGUUGUAAGCUUACCGGUUCCUUUCUUGAUCCAAGGAGAAACCAUAAUGGUUGGUACACGAACACCAAGCCUAUCAAACUUAAAGAAAUUAGGUGCAGGUCCAGUAUUUCCAUCUGGGUUUGGAACAUCACCGUAUGGAGUUUGGACAUGAUCAUAAAAUCCGCCAUGUUCAUCAUAUGUAAUAAUAAAAAGUGUCUCAUUCCACUGUGGACUACUUCUUAAUGUCUCAUAAAUCUCCUUCACUAAUUUCUGCCCAUUAGCAACAUCAUGUGAUGGGUGAUCAUCAUUUGCUGGAUAACCCGUAAUAUCAAAAUACCUUGGCUCAAUCACUGUCAAAUUCGGCAAAUUCCCAUUUUUAGCAUCUUUCUUGAACUUCAAAUCAUAUGAAUGGUACUUGAAUACAUACUUCAACAUCCUCAGAUUUCUAAAGAACAGAGUUGCUGGUAAUGUUUGGUGAUAUAUGCCAAAAUCUAUUCCAUUUUCGUGAAGUGAAUCGAAUAUGGUCUUUUGUGGAUAUCCAGUAGCCAACAGCUUCUUUACAUGGCUAGUGGAACCAUGAGAAGUGGCAGAGUAUAGAAAUAACCUGUUUGGUUGAGUUGGACCAGGAAUUGAACAGAACCAUCUAUCAAAUACUGCAAAUUCACGAACUAAUGUCGCGUAAAUUGGGACAUUUUCUGGCUUAAAUCCUCUCAUGACUGUUCUUGAUAGGUUCUGAGACAUACUGAGUGCUUGUUCCACAAAGCCUGACAUUGAAGGAAUGGACCCUGAGCCGAAUACCUGUUGAGACAACUUAAAUUUUUAGACAGAUAGUCACACAAUUUAAUAUGAUAUCAAAACGGACAAGAGGAUCCUGAACCAAAAAGAAAAAAAGGUAUUUCUACGUGUUUGGCUCAUGAAAACGAAUGUUAGUCAUACGGGAAGGGGCGUGUUUUGAAACAUAAAGUUAAAGCUUUUAGAUGAGAUCAAUUCAAUAUAGUGUCAGAAUAGGCAAGAGACUCUGGAUUCAAAUCUCGUUGUGAUCCAAAAAGCAAAAAAAAUUAAAAAAAAACAAGUGCUUGGCAUAUGAAAAACAAUCGGGGCCCACGUUAGUGAGUGGUGAGAUGUGAGUUUAAGCUUUUUAGACGAGAUGGUUACGGACAUCAAACAAUACCUGUUGCUCGACAGCUUCAAAGGAGUGACCAGGGUCUGGAUCCACAUACUGAGCAUCAUCAGUGAAGCAUAUUGUUUCAGUAAGUUGGGCUUUAGUUGACAUUGGGUUGCACUCUUUGCCAGUGACACCAUUAAUAUGUGGAUUCACUGAUUUUUUCAUCCAUCCAAGCAAGUGAUCAAAAGAUCUGUUCUCCAACACCAACACAACAACUGUUUUAAUGGGUUGUUUUUGCUGUCCGUAAGUUUUCUGAGAAACCCAUGAAAGGGUGAAAAAGAGCAAGAAAACAGUGGCAGAUGGUGGAGCUUUGCUUCUCAAGUGGUCCAUUCUUGAAUCUGAAUUGGUACUAUACUAUCUUUAAAGAUAUGGGGAUGCAAGAAUGAGUAUAGUGGAGCAAAAGCAAAUGAACAGUACUGUAUUAAAGAGCCCCCUUUUUAUUUUUUCACUUUUUCUUAAUGAUUGAUUUAAUGCCAGUGAAAUAAAAUGGGAAGCUGCUAAAUAAGCUAUUAAAAAAAGAAGAGAGGUAUGUGGUUAGGAUGAACUAAAAAGAGGAAGGAUCUGGUAGUAUAUUAGAGGUGUAAUGAGACAGAUGAAUGAAUGAAAUUAAAUGUAUAGAUGUAGUGAAAGCUUUAAAUGGAUCGGAGAUUUGUCCUGAUCUGAUGUGGGUCUUAGUGGGGUGAAUGAUAAGUAAGCUGUAAAGUGGGAAAAGGGAGGAGUAAAAGAAGGGGCUUUGGUAGUCAAAAUGUGAAAUAGGAAAAAAGUUUUUUCACCCCUUAUAUAUAUAUUUAUAACAACUCAAUAAAUACAUAAUAUUUGUUUUCAUAUACUAGUUAAUUAAAUAUACAUUUUCGCCUUAAUUUACCACUUAGACAUGAUCAGUUAAUAUGAUUCGGUUAAAUGCCAAUUGCAAUUAAAUUUUUAUGGUGAAGUGAGCAUAUGUUUCACCACCAAAACUUAUAGUUUAAUGGUACUGGUGGGAGUCUUUCUCAUAAUAAUUGCGUCAUUAUCACUGUCCUGUCCCCCUUUCCCUCCCUUCUCCUUCCCUAUGUAAUAAAAAGUUGGCAUAUGUAUCAGAAAAUAUGAAGUUUCCUUUUAGUACAGUUGCUUAACUUGUUUGUUACCACAGCCAACAUGAGGCUUGAUGCUUGUCAAUUGGAACAUAUUCUGGGAAUGGAACCUUCCUCACUGGUAAUGUUUUUAACGUAACUCAUAAAGUACCAAUCAUGAUUCAUGAGUAGAGGACAUGCCAUUUCUAUUGAGAUAUCAAUGUGUUAAACAUUUGAAUUGAAGUGGCUUCUGCUAUCUACUAAUUGGGUCUUCUAUACUCCCUACAAGAGAAGACAUUAAAUCUUUUUAUUUCCUUUAAAUGUUGUGAACUUCUUCUUUUUCUUUCCAAAAUAUGGUCAUUAGUCAAAGAAGGAAAGCAAACUGACGCAAAAAGAUUGACAAAAGAAAUCAAUAAUCUCCAAUCUCGCUUGCUAUUCUCACGUGAAAUCAUGCACCGACAAAUCUAGAGUUAUUCUCUUUCUUCUUUUCUUUUCCUUACUUUUCAAGGUUGGUUUUAUUGCAGCCACGUUCUAGUUGGACCCUCUUUAUCUUAUUUCUCCCGUUGUGCCCCCCUUCUACCAGUAAAAGAUUUUAAUUUUGCCAUUUCUAAAAUUAGGUGUCUCAAAAACUAGUACUCCUAUUAUAAUUGAUACCAAAAGAUUUCUUUGUAUGAAUUUAUUUCAAGAUAGUCUUCCAAUUUGGUUAAAGAAAAGGAAGUCGGACGAGCAAUUGCACAAUAUAAAAAGCUGAGAAUUCACUUCUGGUUAUACUGUUUAAUUUAAACCAUAAUUUAGAGACUGCCAACGAAUUUGAGUACUGCUAUGUGCUGUAAACUUCAAUUCAAAGGCCAAAACUUGAAGGUAUUGAUCUAGUAAACUUUUACCGUUCUAUUCCGUUGGAUUUCACCAACCCCUUUCUCAUCCCAAGUCCACUGACGUUGUACCCGAGAAAAAAUUAAUCAAAAGGAAACAAAAGUUUGGACACCGCACUUCAACCAAUCUGUUUUGUUUUCUUUUCACUGACAUGAACAAUAAAUGUAAAUUUGUCAUUACAAGCACAAACAAAUUUGCUUCGCCAAAUAUCUGUAUAUAAAUAUCAAUGCACAUACGAUCACCUGAAUUCUGUCACUCUCACGGGAAUUAAAAUUUGCUUAGGUCAGAGAGCUAAUUACAAAGGGUGUAGGGGACACAAUUCUCA
This 32153-nucleotide long non-coding RNA is filed under the name Nicotiana tabacum (common tobacco). RNAcentral describes it as "long non-coding RNA (NTAB_LNC003644)". The record is from RNAcentral. Lineage: Eukaryota; Viridiplantae; Streptophyta; Magnoliopsida; Solanales; Solanaceae.